UACGGAGGAUGCGAGCGUUAUCCGGAUUUAUUGGGUUUAAAGGGUGCGUAGGCGGAUUUUUAAGUCAGCGGUAAAAUGUCCGGGCUCAACCCGGGCCGGCCGUUGAAACUGGGGAUCUUGAGUGGGCGAGAAGUAUGCGGAAUGCGUGGUGUAGCGGUGAAAUGCAUAGAUAUCACGCAGAACUCCGAUUGCGAAGGCAGCAUACCGGCGCCCGACUGACGCUGAGGCACAAAAGCGUGGGGAUCGAACAGG
Molecule: ribosomal RNA, 252 nt
Filed under: uncultured bacterium
Lineage: Bacteria
Description: partial 16S ribosomal RNA
Rfam family: Bacterial small subunit ribosomal RNA
Source: RNAcentral